UACGUAGGGUGCGAGCGUUAAUCGGAAUUACUGGGCGUAAAGCGUGCGCAGGCGGUUCGUUAAGUCAGAUGUGAAAGCCCCGGGCUCAACCUGGGAACUGCAUUUGAAACAGGCGGGCUUGAGUAUGGCAGAGGGGGGUGGAAUUCCGCGUGUAGCAGUGAAAUGCGUAGAUAUUGGGAGGAACACCAGUGGCGAAGGCGGCUCACUGGACCGGAACUGACGCUGAGGCGCGAAAGCGUGGGGAGCAAACAGG
This 253-nucleotide ribosomal RNA is filed under the name uncultured bacterium. Its description in RNAcentral is "partial 16S ribosomal RNA". It matches the Rfam family "Bacterial small subunit ribosomal RNA", at positions 524 to 776 of the family's 1533-position model. The record is from RNAcentral.